This 253-nucleotide ribosomal RNA is filed under the name uncultured bacterium. Its description in RNAcentral is "partial 16S ribosomal RNA". It matches the Rfam family "Bacterial small subunit ribosomal RNA", at positions 524 to 776 of the family's 1533-position model. The record is from RNAcentral.
UACGUAGGGUGCAAGCGUUAAUCGGAAUUACUGGGCGUAAAGCGUGCGCCGGCGGUUUUGUAAGUUUGUCGUGAAAUCCCCGGGCUUAACCUGGGAAUUGCGAUGAAGACUGCAAGGCUAGAAUCUGGCAGAGGGGGGUAGAAUUCCACGUGUAGCAGUGAAAUGCGUAGAGAUGUGGAGGAACACCGAUGGCGAAGGCAGCCCCCUGGGUCAAGAUUGACGCUCAUGCACGAAAGCGUGGGGAGCAAACAGG